UAGGUAGGGUGCAAGCGUUAAUCGGAAUUACUGGGCGUAAAGCGUGCGCAGGCGGUUCGGAAAGAAAGAUGUGAAAUCCCAGGGCUUAACCUUGGAACUGCAUUUUUAACUGUCGAACUAGAGUGCGUCAGAGGGGGGUGGAAUUCCGCGUGUAGCAGUGAAAUGCGUAGAUAUGCGGAGGAACACCGAUGGCGAAGGCAGCCCCCUGGGAUGACACUGACGCUCAUGCACGAAAGCGUGGGGAGCAAACAGG
RNAcentral lists this ribosomal RNA (253 nucleotides) under uncultured bacterium. Its description in RNAcentral is "partial 16S ribosomal RNA". It matches the Rfam family "Bacterial small subunit ribosomal RNA", at positions 524 to 776 of the family's 1533-position model. The record is from RNAcentral.